This 154-nucleotide small nuclear RNA is filed under the name Sorex araneus (European shrew). Its description in RNAcentral is "U2 spliceosomal RNA (ENSSARG00000017677.1)". It matches the Rfam family "U2 spliceosomal RNA". From Rfam's summary of the family: U2 is a small nuclear RNA (snRNA) component of the spliceosome (involved in pre-mRNA splicing). Lineage: Eukaryota; Metazoa; Chordata; Mammalia; Eulipotyphla; Soricidae. The record is from RNAcentral.
CUCGCUUCUCGGCCUUUUGGCUAAGAUCAAGUGUAGUAUCUGUUCUUAAUAUACAUCAGUGACCAAAAUACAUUUUCUGAAAAAUGAAGACAGGAAAAUUUCCUGAGGCCUCUGAGUUCAGGGACGAAGGACACAGCACGCCUUGUCACCUCAG